GAACUAAAUGUGUUUACAAUUAAUCACAACCAGUUACAGAUUUCUUUGUUCCUUCUCCACUCCCACUGCUUCACUUGACUAGCAUUAA
RNAcentral lists this Y RNA (88 nucleotides) under Microcebus murinus (gray mouse lemur). RNAcentral's name for it is "Y RNA (ENSMICG00000047385.1)". It matches the Rfam family "Y RNA". From Rfam's summary of the family: Y RNAs are components of the Ro ribonucleoprotein particle (Ro RNP), in association with Ro60 and La proteins. The Y RNAs and Ro60 and La proteins are well conserved, but the function of the Ro RNP is not known. Lineage: Eukaryota; Metazoa; Chordata; Mammalia; Primates; Cheirogaleidae. The record is from RNAcentral.